UUGGGUUAAGUCCCGCAACGAGCGCAACCCUCGUCCUUAGUUGCCAGCAUUAAGUUGGGCACUCUAGGGAGACUGCCGGUGACAAACCGGAGGAAGGUGGGGAUGACGUCAAGUCAGCAUGCCCCUUACGUCCUGGGCGACACACGUACUACAAUGCUGUGGACAAAGGGCAGCCAACCGGCGACGGUGCGCUAAUCCCAGAAACCACGGCUCAGUUCAGAUUGCAGGCUGCAACUCGCCUGCAUGAAGGCGGAAUCGCUAGUAAUCGCAGGUCAGCAUACUGCGGUGAAUACGUUCCCGGGCCUUGUACACACCGCCCGUCACACCAUGGGAGUUGGUCACGCCCGAAGUCGUUACUCCAACCCGUUCGGGAGGAGGACGCCGAAGGCAGGGCUGAUGACUGGGGUGAAGUCGUAACAAGGUAGCCGUACCGGAAGGUGUGGCUGGAUCACCUCCUUU
Molecule: ribosomal RNA, 459 nt
Filed under: uncultured cyanobacterium
Lineage: Bacteria; Bacillati; Cyanobacteriota
Description: bacterial SSU rRNA
Rfam family: Bacterial small subunit ribosomal RNA
Source: RNAcentral